CUUUCGGAUGCGUUGAUAAUGCAGGUUAGCAUACUUCCGAGAAAACUCACUAAGGCUAGGUGUAUAGAAUCCGUACCGGAAACCGACACAGGUGGUCAAGUAGAGUAUACUAAGGCGCUCGGGUGAGCCGUGGUUAAGGAAUUAGGCAAAUUAGUCCUGUAACUUCGGGAGAAAGGACACCCUCAGCAAUGAGGGUCGCAGAGAAUAGGUCUAGGCGACUGUUUAACAAAAACACAGGGCUAUGCAAAAUCGCAAGAUGAAGUAUAUGGCCUGACACCUGCCCGGUGCUGGAAGGUUAAAGAAGGGGGUCAGCAGCAAUGCGAAGCUCUCGACUGAAGCCCCAGUAAACGGCGGCCGUAACAAUAACGGUCCUAAGGUAGCGAAAUUCCUUGUCGGGUAAGUUCCGACCUGCACGGAUGGUGUAACGAUCUAGACGCUGUCUCAACCACGAGCCCGGUGAAAUUGAAGUAUCGGUGAAGAUGCCGAUUACUCGCCACGGGACGGAAAGACCCCGUGCACCUUCACUACAGCUUUGCAUUGACUUCGGGUAUUAAAUGUGUAGGAUAGGUGGGAGACUAUGAAGCGGUUCCGCUAGGGAUUGUGGAGUCAACGUUGAAAUACCACCCUUUUACUACUUGGAGUCUAACCUGUUUUAAACGGAGACAUUGCAUGGCGGGUAGUUUGACUGGGGUGGUCGCCUCCAAAAGAGUAACGGAGGCUUUCAAAGGUACCCUCAGUACGCUUGGUAACCGUACGUAGCGUGUAAAGGCAUAAGGGUGCUUGACUGUAAGACCGACAGGUCAAACAGGUACGAAAGUAGGACUUAGUGAUCCGGUGGUUCUGUAUGGAAGGGCCAUCGCUCAUAGGAUAAAAGGUACGCCGGGGAUAACAGGCUGAUUUCUCCCAAGAGCUCAUAUCGACGGGGAAGUUUGGCACCUCGAUGUCGGCUCGUCACAUCCUGGGGCUGGAGAAGGUCCCAAGGGUUGGGCUGUUCGCCCAUUAAAGUGGCACGCGAGCUGGGUUCAGAACGUCGCAAGACAGUUCGGUCCCUAUCUGUGGUGAGCGUUAGAGAAUUGAGAAGAUCUGCAUCUAGUACGAGAGGACCGAUGUGGACUAGCCUCUGGUGUAUCAGUUGUACCGCCAGGUGCACUGCUGAGUAGCUAAGCUGGGAAGGGAUAAGCGCUGAAAGCAUCUAAGCACGAAACCCACUUCAAGAUGAGUUCUCUUUAUAAGGAUCGUCGAAGACUACGACGUUGAUAGGCUAUAGGUGUAAGCAUAGUAAUAUGUUCAGCCAAGUAGUACUAAUUGUCCGUAAACUUUCU
This 1322-nucleotide ribosomal RNA is filed under the name metagenome. RNAcentral describes it as "bacterial LSU rRNA". It matches the Rfam family "Bacterial large subunit ribosomal RNA", at positions 1572 to 2925 of the family's 2925-position model. The record is from RNAcentral.